UCUCAGAAAUAACGUCCCAGUUCGGAUUGUAGUCUGCAACCCGACUACAUGAAGCUGGAAUCGCUAGUAAUCGCGAAUCAGAAUGUCGCGGUGAAUACGUUCCCGGGUCUUGUACACACCGCCCGUCACACCAUGGGAGUCGGAAAUGCCCGAAGUCAGUGACCCAACCGUAAGGAGGGAGCUGCCGAAGGUGGAGCCGGUAACUGGGGUGAAGUCGUAACAAGGUAAC
Molecule: ribosomal RNA, 229 nt
Filed under: uncultured bacterium
Lineage: Bacteria
Description: partial 16S ribosomal RNA
Rfam family: Bacterial small subunit ribosomal RNA
Source: RNAcentral